This 1213-nucleotide long non-coding RNA is filed under the name Vigna radiata. RNAcentral's name for it is "long non-coding RNA (VRAD_LNC007557)". Lineage: Eukaryota; Viridiplantae; Streptophyta; Magnoliopsida; Fabales; Fabaceae. The record is from RNAcentral.
UGUUUGUUCAAAAGUGGUAAAAACUUAAAUGCACCUUAUCUCUCCCUUCCAAUGCUCCAUUUCGGUUUCUCCACCAAGACAACCCUUCAAAACCUUUUCUUCAUCAUACAUUGACGUGAAUACACCCCAAGGAACCAAGCAUCAACUUCAAAACAAGUCAUGAACAAUAAACUCAAACAUAUGCUACUUCAACCCAACUAAAUCUUCCAUUUCUUCAAGUUUCUUUGCAAAAAUGAAAAUAAAUCCUAAGCCAUCAAUUCCAGCUCUGUCCAGCCACAAUAACAACCCCAAGAUCUGGUCCCAUCCUUGCUUCAAACAUCAAAACCGAAAAUCAAGAAGAAAGAGCCCAAACUACUACACUCACACAUCAAGUUAAGCUCUUUUCAACCCAAAACUCACAUGGAACUCCAUUUUUAUCAUCCAACCAAAUAAAAUGCAAAGAAAAACGUGAGGAACAACAGCAAAGGGAGAGGAAAACGAAAUAUAAAGUUACUCAAACCCAACAUCCACCAUGGAAAUGCAAAGACAAGCUCCAAAGCUCAAGCUCCAAGCAUAAAAAACAUAAGCAAAUGGAAGAAGGAAUGAAUGGAUUUUCACCACCAAUGAGUUAAGACAACCAAGAGUAAGUCAAGGGAAGAAGAAAAUCUGCAUCAUAUCAUUGAAAGUGGCUCAAAACCGUAGCACCAAACAAGCACCAUGAGAGCAUGUUCAAAACAAGAGAAACCCUAGAAGAAAGAAGCAAAAACCAUGAGCUAUGGGUCUCUCUUUUGUGUGGCUCGGUUUUCACACCCCAAAUACCAAGAGUUUCACAUUUGGUGGGGUCCACACACUACAAGUCAGCCCUAAAGAGAUGCCACAUGGCCCCCACAAUUGGUUUUUUACAAAAAUGCCCCUAAAAGGGUCCAAAACACCUAAUUCUAAUCAAAGGCUUCUAGAAAACGAAAUUACAACUUUAAUUAAAAUCUAAAUGACUAAAUAUUGAGUCUUGAAUGUGCCACGCCAUAUCCUAAUGCUCCAGAUGAUAUUUCCACAAUUUCCCUGUAACCAAAAAUACGCUUAAUCAGCUCAAAAUAUCCAAAUUAGCGCAAAUACGAAUUUCUGACCAAAUUAAGCAGAAUNCGGAAAACGGAGAAAUAACAGACAAUUAAACACAAUUCCCUGGUUUAUUUAAGUGCAAUAAACUAAAUAUGGUUCAAGAAAUAACGACUCAUCA